AGGAAAACAAGAUCUGGUGUCUGGGUCCCAACUCAUAGAGCUUCCCAGCUUGUAGCUGUGCUCCUGAAGUUAUGUGUCCUUAUUUGAGGUUCAGGAAAUAUAAUCAUGUCAAGAAAGGAUACAGUUCAGCCCAUGUUCCUGAGUGCUGCGAGAGAGAGGAAGCAAUGGAGAGGAAAAUUUCUUCCAGUCUUCUCCAGCUCCAAACCAUGGGCCCAGGAUGAAAAUCUGUGGAACAAAGCAUCGGGAAUCCAGAAGAGGGACGAAGCAGAAAUUGACAAAAACCUGACACGGAGAAGGACUGUGCCUCAGAGCUACUUCCGUGGAAGAGUUGGCAAUAAUCAUAACUGCUAUGGACUGAUUGAGUGUCUACUGUGUUAGGAACUCUACUAAGCUCAAACUUAAUAUAACAGAUGCCAAGAAGGAAGUACAAGUCCAGGCUGUGUUGAUGGUGGUCCAAAGAUCUUCCCAACAUGGCCUAAAACCCAAGUCUUCUUCAGCUCCCACAGAACAAUUUCCCCCAAGAAAAAGGCUUAGAAGUGGAGGCUGCAUCAUCACAAAUUCCUUUCACUGGGAGACUGAUGAUUGGAUCCAACUUCUCACCCCAUACUUCAACUCUGGUAAAACUUGGAUUUUAGGGGAGAUGAUUUGACAGUAUUUCCCCACCCUUUUCAAUUAUAUACACCUUUGAACUUUUA
RNAcentral lists this long non-coding RNA (695 nucleotides) under Rhinopithecus bieti (black snub-nosed monkey). Its description in RNAcentral is "lncRNA (ENSRBIG00000046259.1)". Lineage: Eukaryota; Metazoa; Chordata; Mammalia; Primates; Cercopithecidae. The record is from RNAcentral.